GAGAGUUAAACAGUACGUGAAAUUGUUGAAAGGGAAACGAUUGAAGCUAGUCGUACCUAUGGGUAAUUAGCCUUUUGGGUGUGAUUUUGUGGAGCGUGAGGAGUUAAACGCCUUCAUGCCUGCAUAUUCGUGCACUUUGGGUGUACUUGCCCGUGUGUAAGUUAACAUCAAUUUUGGUGGUCAUAAAAUGGCUGGAGGAAUGUAGCUUCGAUCUUGUAUUGAAGUGUUAUAGCCUUCGGUAGAUGUGACGAUCGGGAUUGAGGAUUGCAACGGAUACCCUUCGGGGCUACCUGUCUGAUCUCUGAUUGUUGCUCUGGUGUCGAAAGCUUGCUUACGGUUAUCAAAGUCGAUGGUCAAUAGGUUAGAAUGGGUUAAAUUCGUUAAGGAUGUUGACGUAAUGGCUUUAAACGA
This 411-nucleotide ribosomal RNA is filed under the name uncultured Rhizophagus. RNAcentral's name for it is "partial 28S ribosomal RNA". The record is from RNAcentral. Lineage: Eukaryota; Fungi; Glomeromycota; Glomeromycetes; Glomerales; Glomeraceae.